RNAcentral lists this ribosomal RNA (440 nucleotides) under uncultured bacterium. RNAcentral's name for it is "partial 16S ribosomal RNA". It matches the Rfam family "Bacterial small subunit ribosomal RNA", at positions 338 to 795 of the family's 1533-position model. The record is from RNAcentral.
CCUACGGGUGGCAGCAGUGGGGGAUAUUGCACAAUGGGGGAAACCCUGAUGCAGCGACGCCGCGUGUGGGAAGACGGUCUUCUGGAUUGUAAACCACUGUCCCCAGGGACGAAAAUGACGGUACCUGGGGAGGAAGCUCCGGCUAACUACGUGCCAGCAGCCGCGGUAAUACGUAGGGAGCAAGCGUUGUCCGGAAUUACUGGGUGUAAAGGGAGCGUAGGCGGGGUUGCAAGUUGGGUGUCAAAACUACCGGCUCAACCGAAGGAAGCACUCAAAACUGCAGCACUUGAGUGAAGUAGAGGCAGGCGGAAUUCCUAGUGUAGCGGUGAAAUGCGUAGAUAUUAGGAGGAACACCAGUGGCGAAGGCGGCCUGCUGGGCUUUUACUGACGCUGAGGCACGAAAGUGUGGGGAGCAAACAGGAUUAGAUACCCCAGUAGUC